UUGACUUUACUAGAUCAAAUAAUCCUACAUGGAUAACUGUGGUAAUUCUAGAGCUAAUACAUGCAUUUAAGCCGAGACCUUUAUGGAAUCGGCGCAUUUAUUAGAUCAAAGCCAAUCGGACUUCGGUCCGCUCUUUGGUGAAUCUGAAUAACUCAGCAGAUCGUACGGUCGCGUACCGACGACGCUUCUUUCAACAAUCUGCCCUAUCAACUUUCGAUGGUAGUUUAUGCGCCUACCAUGGUUGUUACGGGUAACGGAGAAUCAGGGUUCGAUUCCGGAGAGGGAGCCUGAGAAACGGCUACCACAUCCAAGGAAGGCAGCAGGCACGCAAAUUACCCAUUCCCGGCAAGGUGAGGUAGUGACGAAAAAUAACGAGAUGAUUCUCUAAGAGGGUCAUCAUCGGAAUGAGCACAAUUUAAAUCCUUUAACGAGGAUCUAUUGGAGGGCAAGUCUGGUGCCAGCAGCCGCGGUAAUUCCAGCUCCAAUAGCGUAUAUUAAAAUUGUUGCGUUUAAAAAGCUCGUAGUUGGAUCUCGGUGCAGAAUUGCGGUCCCCCUAACGGGUGGUUACUGCUUUUUCUGACCGAAAAUAUCCGGUUCGUCCUUGGUGCUCUUUACUGAGUGUCUUGGAUGGCUGGAAAAUUUACUUUGAAAAAAUUAGAGUGCUUAAAGCAGGCGUAAGCCUGAAUAGUGGUGCAUGGAAUAAUGGAAUAGGACCUCGGUUCUAUUUGAUUGGUUUUAAGAACCAAGGUAAUGAUUAAGAGGGACAGACGGGGGCAUUAGUAUUGCGACGUUAGAGGUGAAAUUCUUGGAUCGUCGCAAGACUAACUACUGCGAAAGCAUUUGCCAAGAAUGUUU
This 855-nucleotide ribosomal RNA is filed under the name Alaimus sp. 1 GVDU-2019. RNAcentral describes it as "SSU rRNA". It matches the Rfam family "Eukaryotic small subunit ribosomal RNA", at positions 111 to 969 of the family's 1831-position model. The record is from RNAcentral. Lineage: Eukaryota; Metazoa; Nematoda; Enoplea; Enoplida; Alaimidae.